GUCCUGACUCUGAGGCAGGUCCUGACUCUGAAGCAGGUCCUGACUCGGAGACCGGCCCUGACUCCUCCGAGUCAGUACCGACCUCUGAGUUGACCAAAUUUAGAGGCCCAGCUAAGUGUG
This is a long non-coding RNA of Poecilia latipinna (sailfin molly), 120 nucleotides long. RefSeq lists it as uncharacterized. The record is from RefSeq and is a predicted model, not a curated record. Lineage: Eukaryota; Metazoa; Chordata; Actinopteri; Cyprinodontiformes; Poeciliidae. The transcript has 2 exons.